UACAGAGGUGACUAACGUUGUCCGGAAUUAUUGGGCGUAAAGGGCGCGUAGGUGGUUGGGUAAGUCAGGUGUGAAAGCCCCGGGCUUAACCUGGGAAUUGCAUUUGAAACUGUAUUUCUAGAGUAGAGUAGAGGGCAGUGGAAUUUCCGGUGUAGCGGUGAAAUGCGUAGAUAUCGGAAGGAACACCAGUGGCGAAGGCGGCUGCCUGGACUCUAACUGACACUGAGGCGCGAAAGCGUGGGGAG
Molecule: ribosomal RNA, 245 nt
Filed under: uncultured Marinobacterium sp.
Lineage: Bacteria; Pseudomonadati; Pseudomonadota; Gammaproteobacteria; Oceanospirillales; Oceanospirillaceae
Description: partial 16S ribosomal RNA
Rfam family: Bacterial small subunit ribosomal RNA
Source: RNAcentral